GACACCGAUAGAGACAAUUGCUUGAGUAGCAAUUAAAGCAACAACUAACUUUCAUAUCAGGGACUAGGGUCAAUCAGUUCAUCCAACAUUUUACUCUAUGGUAACUGAGGCAUCUAUGAUCCAUCCGUUACAAAAUUUACAAGACAAAGUAUAUUCAUCGAUUCCAACUUUCACAUUUGUGCCUUAUUAUUUUUCGUCAAAACACAAUUUCAUUUAAGGCAACAACUAGCUUUCGCAUU
This 239-nucleotide long non-coding RNA is filed under the name Trifolium pratense (red clover). RNAcentral's name for it is "long non-coding RNA (TPRA_LNC011389)". Lineage: Eukaryota; Viridiplantae; Streptophyta; Magnoliopsida; Fabales; Fabaceae. The record is from RNAcentral.